Molecule: long non-coding RNA, 241 nt
Filed under: Cicer arietinum (chickpea)
Lineage: Eukaryota; Viridiplantae; Streptophyta; Magnoliopsida; Fabales; Fabaceae
Description: long non-coding RNA (CARI_LNC003426)
Source: RNAcentral
AGAAAAUCUGAUUACCAUAUCACUAAAAACAAGAAAAUUUACUAACACCUAAUUCCCCCCCCCCCCCUCUUAGGCGUACUUCUAUACUUACAAUUGGCAUCAGAGCAGGUUAAGGUAACUUAUUCCUCGAUCAAUUAUUCAUGGCUUCCGCACAACCUGUUUUUAGAGAUGGUGGUAGCAGUACCAAGCCACCAUGUUUUGUUGGAGAACACUAUGAUUUCUGGAAGAUACGCAUGCAGGC